RNAcentral lists this ribosomal RNA (639 nucleotides) under Shigella boydii. Its description in RNAcentral is "bacterial SSU rRNA". It matches the Rfam family "Bacterial small subunit ribosomal RNA", at positions 906 to 1533 of the family's 1533-position model. The record is from RNAcentral. Lineage: Bacteria; Pseudomonadati; Pseudomonadota; Gammaproteobacteria; Enterobacterales; Enterobacteriaceae.
UGAAUUGACGGGGGCCCGCACAAGCGGUGGAGCAUGUGGUUUAAUUCGAUGCAACGCGAAGAACCUUACCUGGUCUUGACAUCCACGGAAGUUUUCAGAGAUGAGAAUGUGCCUUCGGGAACCGUGAGACAGGUGCUGCAUGGCUGUCGUCAGCUCGUGUUGUGAAAUGUUGGGUUAAGUCCCGCAACGAGCGCAACCCUUAUCCUUUGUUGCCAGCGGUCCGGCCGGGAACUCAAAGGAGACUGCCAGUGAUAAACUGGAGGAAGGUGGGGACGACGUCAAGUCAUCAUGGCCCUUACGACCAGGGCUACACACGUGCUACAAUGGCGCAUACAAAGAGAAGCGACCUCGCGAGAGCAAGCGGACCUCAUAAAGUGCGUCGUAGUCCGGAUUGGAGUCUGCAACUCGACUCCAUGAAGUCGGAAUCGCUAGUAAUCGUGGAUCAGAAUGCCACGGUGAAUACGUUCCCGGGCCUUGUACACACCGCCCGUCACACCAUGGGAGUGGGUUGCAAAAGAAGUAGGUAGCUUAACCUUCGGGAGGGCGCUUACCACUUUGUGAUUCAUGACUGGGGUGAAGUCGUAACAAGGUAACCGUAGGGGAACCUGCGGUUGGAUCACCUCCUUACCUUAAAGAAGC